GACGAACGCUGGCGGCGUGCUUAACACAUGCAAGUCGAACGGAAAGGCCCUUCGGGGUACUCGAGUGGCGAACGGGUGAGUAACACGUGGGUGAUCUGCCUCGUACUUUGGGAUAAGCCUGGGAAACUGGGUCUAAUACCGAAUAUGACCUUCCCUCGCAUGGGGGUUGGUGGAAACUUUUUGGGUACGAGAUGGGCCCGCGGCCUAUCAGCUUGUUGGUGGGGUAAUGGCCUACCAAGGCGACGACGGGUAGCCGGCCUGAGAGGGCGACCGGCCACACUGGGACUGAGACACGGCCCAGACUCCUACGGGAGGCAGCAGUGGGGAAUAUUGCACAAUGGGCGCAAGCCUGAUGCAGCGACGCCGCGUGAGGGAUGACG
RNAcentral lists this ribosomal RNA (380 nucleotides) under uncultured bacterium. Its description in RNAcentral is "bacterial SSU rRNA". It matches the Rfam family "Bacterial small subunit ribosomal RNA", at positions 28 to 413 of the family's 1533-position model. The record is from RNAcentral.